AGAGUUUGAUCCUGGCUCAGAUUGAACGCUAGCGGGAUGCUUUACACAUGCAAGUCGAACGGCAGCACGAGAGAGCUUGCUCUCUUGGUGGCGAGUGGCGGACGGGUGAGUAAUAUAUCGGAACGUGCCCAGUAGCGGGGGAUAACUACUCGAAAGAGUGGCUAAUACCGCAUACGCCCUACGGGGGAAAGGGGGGGAUCGCAAGACCUCUCACUAUUGGAGCGGCCGAUAUCGGAUUAGCUAGUUGGUGGGGUAAAGGCUCACCAAGGCAACGAUCCGUAGCUGGUUUGAGAGGACGACCAGCCACACUGGGACUGAGACACGGCCCAGACUCCUACGGGAGGCAGCAGUGGGGAAUUUUGGACAAUGGGGGAAACCCUGAUCCAGCCAUCCCGCGUGUAUGAUGAGGGCCUUCGGGUUGUAAAGUACUUUCGGCAGAGAAGAAAAGGCAUCCCCUAAUACGGGAUGCUGCUGACGGUAUCUGCAGAAUAAGCACCGGCUAACUACGUGCCAGCAGCCGCGGUAAUACGUAGGGUGCAAGCGUUAAUCGGAAUUACUGGGCGUAAAGCGUGUGUAGGCGGUUCGGAAAGAAAGAUGUGAAAUCCCAGGGCUCAACCUUGGAACUGCAUUUUUAACUGCCGAGCUAGAGUAUGUCAGAGGGGGGUAGAAUUCCACGUGUAGCAGUGAAAUGCGUAGAUAUGUGGAGGAAUACCGAUGGCGAAGGCAGCCCCCUGGGAUAAUACUGACGCUCAGACACGAAAGCGUGGGGAGCAAACAGGAUUAGAUACCCUGGUAGUCCACGCCCUAAACGAUGUCAACUAGCUGUUGGGGCCGUUAGGCCUUAGUAGCGCAGCUAACGCGUGAAGUUGACCGCCUGGGGAGUACGGUCGCAAGAUUAAAACUCAAAGGAAUUGACGGGGACCCGCACAAGCGGUGGAUGAUGUGGAUUAAUUCGAUGCAGCGCGAAAAACCUUACCUACCCUUGACAUGUCUGGAAUGCCGAAGAGAUUUGGCAGUGCUCGCAAGAGAACCGGAACACAGGUGCUGCAUGGCUGUCGUCAGCUCGUGUCGUGAGAUGUUGGGUUAAGUCCCGCAACGAGCGCAACCCUUGUCAUUAGUUGCUACGCAGGAGCACUCUAAUGAGACUGCCGGUGACAAACCGGAGGAAGGUGGGGAUGACGUCAAGUCCUCAUGGCCCUUAUGGGUAGGGCUCCACACGUCAUACAAUGGUCGGGACAGAGGGUCGCCAACCCGCGAGGGGGAGCCAAUCUCAGAAACCCGAUCGUAGUCCGGAUCGCAGUCUGCAACUCGACUGCGUGAAGUCGGAAUCGCUAGUAAUCGCGGAUCAGAAUGUCGCGGUGAAUACGUUCCCGGGUCUUGCACUCACCGCCCGUCA
Molecule: ribosomal RNA, 1396 nt
Filed under: uncultured bacterium
Lineage: Bacteria
Description: 16S ribosomal RNA
Rfam family: Bacterial small subunit ribosomal RNA
Source: RNAcentral